Molecule: ribosomal RNA, 504 nt
Filed under: uncultured bacterium
Lineage: Bacteria
Description: bacterial SSU rRNA
Rfam family: Bacterial small subunit ribosomal RNA
Source: RNAcentral
AGGAUGAACGCUGGCGGCGUGCCUAACACAUGCAAGUCGGAACGGGGUUAAGCAGAAAUUUUCGGAUGGGAAGCUUAACUUAGUGGCGGACGGGUGAGUAACGCGUGGAUAACCUGCCUCACACGAGGGGGAUAGCAGCUGGAAACGGCUGGUAAUACCGCAUAAGACCACGGCAUCGCAUGAUGCAGACGGUAAAAGAUUUAUCGGUGUGAGAUGGAUCCGCGUCUGAUUAGCCAGUUGGCGGGUAACGGCCCACCAAAGCGACGAUCAGUAGCCGGCCUGAGAGGGUGAACGGCCACAUUGGGACUGAGACACGGCCCAAACUCCUACGGGAGGCAGCAGUGGGGAAUAUUGCACAAUGGGCGCAAGCCUGAUGCAGCAACGCCCGCGUGAGUGAAGAAGUAUUUCGGUAUGUAAAGCUCUAUCGGCAGGGAAGAAAGGCCCAUUAAGGGAGAUGACGGUACCUGACUAAGAAGCCCCGGCUAACUACGUGCCAGCCGCCGC